GACGUAGGGCGCGAGCGUUGUCCGGAUUUAUUGGGCGUAAAGAGCUCGUAGGCGGUUUGUCGCGUCGAAUGUGAAAACCCGGGGCUCAACUCCGGGCCUGCAUUCGAUACGGGCAGACUAGAGUUCGGUAGGGGAGUCUGGAAUUCCUGGUGUAGCGGUGAAAUGCGCAGAUAUCAGGAGGAACACCGGUGGCGAAGGCGGGACUCUGGGCCGAUACUGACGCUGAGGAGCGAAAGCGUGGGGAGCAAACAGG
This 253-nucleotide ribosomal RNA is filed under the name uncultured bacterium. RNAcentral describes it as "partial 16S ribosomal RNA". It matches the Rfam family "Bacterial small subunit ribosomal RNA", at positions 524 to 776 of the family's 1533-position model. The record is from RNAcentral.